Molecule: ribosomal RNA, 393 nt
Filed under: uncultured bacterium
Lineage: Bacteria
Description: partial 16S ribosomal RNA
Rfam family: Bacterial small subunit ribosomal RNA
Source: RNAcentral
AUACGGAGGAUCCGAGCGUUAUCCGGAUUUAUUGGGUUUAAAGGGAGCGUAGGUGGACAGUUAAGUCAGUUGUGAAAGUUUGCGGCUCAACCGUAAAAUUGCAGUUGAUACUGGCUGUCUUGAGUACAGUAGAGGUGGGCGGAAUUCGUGGUGUAGCGGUGAAAUGCUUAGAUAUCACGAAGAACUCCGAUUGCGAAGGCAGCUCACUGGACUGCAACUGACACUGAUGCUCGAAAGUGUGGGUAUCAAACAGGAUGAGAUACCCUGGUAGUCCGCACAGUAAACGAUGAAUACUCGCUGUUUGCGAUACACGGUAAGCGGCCAAGCGAAAGCGUUAAGUAUUCCACCUGGGGAGUACGCCGGCAACGGUGGAACUCAAAGGAAUUGACGGGG